Molecule: unclassified non-coding RNA, 307 nt
Filed under: plant metagenome
Description: partial contains 5.8S ribosomal RNA, internal transcribed spacer 2, and large subunit ribosomal RNA
Rfam family: 5.8S ribosomal RNA (bases 1-105)
Source: RNAcentral
GAAAUGCGAUAAGUAAUGUGAAUUGCAGAAUUCAGUGAAUCAUCGAAUCUUUGAAAGCACAUUGCGCCCGCCAGCACUCUGGCGGGCAUGCCUGUUCGAGCGUCAUUUCAACCCUCAGAACCCCUUGCGGGAUCUGGCGUUGGGGAUUGGCAUCCAGCCAGCCCCGAAAUCUAGUGGCGGUCCCUCCGCGACCUCCCCUGUGCAGUAGCGAUACCUCGCAGCGGGACAGCGGUCUGACCACGCCGUAAAACCCCCAACUUCUCAAGGUUGACCUCGAAUCAGGUAGGAAUACCCGCUUAACUUAAGC